GAUGAACGCUAGCGGCAGGCCUAACACAUGCAAGUCGAGGGAGAAGCCCUUUCGGGGGCAGAAACCGGCGCACGGGUGCGUAACGCGUAUGCAACCUACCUUUCACACGGGGAUAGCCCGAAGAAAUUUGGAUUAAUACCCCAUAAUAUUAUUGGAUGGCAUCAUUUGAUAAUUAAAACUGCGGUGGUGAAAGAUGGGCAUGCGUCCUAUUAGCUAGUUGGAGUGGUAACGGCACCCCAAGGCUACGAUAGGUAGGGGUCCUGAGAGGGAGAUCCCCCACACUGGUACUGAGACAGGGACCAGACUCCUACGGGAGGCAGCGGUGAGGAAUAUUGGUCAAUGGUCGGAAGACUGAACCAGCCAUGCCGCGUGCAGGAAGAAUGCCUUAUGGGUUGUAAACUGCUUUUAUAUGGGAAGAAUAAGGCGUACGUGUACGUUGAUGACGGUACCAUAUGAAUAAGCAUCGGCUAACUCCGUG
RNAcentral lists this ribosomal RNA (478 nucleotides) under uncultured bacterium. Its description in RNAcentral is "partial 16S ribosomal RNA". It matches the Rfam family "Bacterial small subunit ribosomal RNA", at positions 28 to 507 of the family's 1533-position model. The record is from RNAcentral.